Molecule: transfer RNA, 71 nt
Filed under: Camelus bactrianus (Bactrian camel)
Lineage: Eukaryota; Metazoa; Chordata; Mammalia; Artiodactyla; Camelidae
Also listed under: 2 other names
Rfam family: tRNA
About the family: Transfer RNA (tRNA) molecules are approximately 80 nucleotides in length. Their secondary structure includes four short double-helical elements and three loops (D, anti-codon, and T loops).
Source: Rfam by way of RNAcentral
GAGGGUACAGCUCAGCGGUAGAGCGCCUGCUUAGCAUGCACGAGAUGCUGGGUUCAUUCCCAGUACCUCCG